GUUUUAUUGAAUAAUAUUCCAUAAUAAGACAUCAGCCGGAAGUUACUAUAGAAAUGUACACAGGUCUGAUAUCAAACUCAGAGAGAGUGGGGGAGCGGCCUUUGGGUCUCUAUUUACUGAGGAGGAGGAGUCAUUCCUUAUUUAGAGAGGGUCAGAGAGGGACCUGUGGGUUUCUAUUUACUGAGGAGGAGUCAUUCCUUAGUCAGACAGGGUCAGGGAGGGGCCUGUGGGUCACUAUUUACUGAGGAGUCACCCCUUACUCAGAUAGGUUGGGGGAGGGGCCUGUGGGUCUCUGAGGUGGAUCCCUAAUCAGGGGACUUGGUAAAUGGUGGUGCAUGCAUGCUAUGCAAUGAUUGUGUCCACCUGGACAUUUGAUCCUUAUUGCAGACUGCUGGACUGUUCUGCAGCUGGUCAGUCCUCAUUGCUAACUGGUAAUCUACCUACGUUUCCACGUAGGUAGGUAGUCCUUGCUGCAUUGUCCAGGGUCUUUAGUCCAGUUUGUGUUGUGGCUGCUGUGUUAGUAGACUGAGACAGUGGAGGGUCCCACAUGGUGAGUCCUGAUUGUGUUCAUUGUCCCCUGGUAACAGUGGAGGGUCCCACAUGGUGAGUCCUGACUGUGUUCAUUGUCCUCUGGUAACAGUGGAGGGUCCCACAUGGUGAGUCCUGACUGUGUUCAUUGUCCUCUGGUAACAGUGGAGGGUCCCAAAUGGUGAGUCCUGACUGUGUUCAUUGUCCCCAUGGUAACAGUUUAGGGAGGUGGUCAGCCCUUCUUUCGUUGGGCCCAUCAGUGCCAUGGCCUGUCUUAUUACUUAUGGCUCUUAUUGGAAGACAACGGUUUGUUUUGGAAGACAAGAGGAAACGAUUGAGAUAAACCAAAAGCCAAAGAGGAGAAAAGACAGGGCGUGGUUAGUUUUUGGAAAACUUACGACCAUGACCCAGAGCCCAGUAGGGUUAAGAAAGGUUGUAAGAUUCAGACAGACAGGUGUUAGUCUUUAGGACAGAUUUUUAUGUUUCCACAUACUAUUUUGCAACAACAUUUACAGUUAGCUCAUUGUAAUGUUUCUGGUAUCCUGUAACACAUUCACACUGCAGUAUUGAGUUGGAGUGGAUGCUCAAUGGGAAGGCAUCAUUUAGCAUUCUCUGGGAGUGACCAUUCCACUCCACCAAAACAACUGGUGUUACUCACCUGUAGAGGAGGUGAACAUGAAGGAAAGCAAAAGCCAAUCUUCCAAGAGUCCAAAUCGGAAAACC
Molecule: long non-coding RNA, 1251 nt
Organism: Esox lucius (northern pike)
Lineage: Eukaryota; Metazoa; Chordata; Actinopteri; Esociformes; Esocidae
Source: Ensembl